This 472-nucleotide ribosomal RNA is filed under the name uncultured eubacterium WR818. RNAcentral describes it as "bacterial SSU rRNA". It matches the Rfam family "Bacterial small subunit ribosomal RNA", at positions 9 to 527 of the family's 1533-position model. The record is from RNAcentral.
GAGUUUGAUCCUGGCUCAGAACGAACGCUGGCGGCAUGCCUAACACAUGCAAGUCGAACGAGACCUUCGGGUCUAGUGGCGCACGGGUGCGUAACGCGUGGGAAUCUGCCCCUUGGUUCGGAAUAACAGUGGGAAACUACUGCUAAUACCGGAUGACGACGUAAGUCCAAAGAUUUAUCGCCGAGGGAUGAGCCCGCGUAGGAUUAGCUUGUUGGUGAGGUAAUGGCUCACCAAGGCGACGAUCCUUAGCUGGUCUGAGAGGAUGAUCAGCCACACUGGGACUGAGACACGGCCCAGACUCCUACGGGAGGCAGCAGUGGGGAAUAUUGGACAAUGGGCGCAAGCCUGAUCCAGCAAUGCCGCGUGAGCGAUGAAGGCCUUAGGGUUGUAAAGCUCUUUUACCAGGGAUGAUAAUGACAGUACCUGGAGAAUAAGCUCCGGCUAACUCCGUGCCAGCAGCCGCGGUAAUACG